AGGGGCGGUCCAAACAGCAAGAACUGCUAACUCUCGCAUCCGAGUCUAAAACCUCGGCCCCCUU
This 64-nucleotide transfer RNA is filed under the name Crax globulosa. RNAcentral's name for it is "tRNA-Ser". Lineage: Eukaryota; Metazoa; Chordata; Aves; Galliformes; Cracidae. RNAcentral also lists the same sequence under 2 other names. The record is from RNAcentral.